Molecule: long non-coding RNA, 632 nt
Organism: Glycine soja
Lineage: Eukaryota; Viridiplantae; Streptophyta; Magnoliopsida; Fabales; Fabaceae
Exons: 2
Source: RefSeq, a predicted model, not a curated record
AAACCUUCAAUUAACAACUCUUGAGACCAUUACAUCUCCACACUAAUUUUAAAAACCUAGAUCUGCGACGACACAAUAGCCUAAAAGCAUCUUUAACAGACCUUUUAAGUAAAUUUGAGAGUACCACAUUACUUUUAAGAUUUUUUUUAUUACAAAAAUAAUUUUUAUUUUGAGAUUUUAAUCAUUUUUAUUUUUAUUUUGAUUCCUUCACCGCCUCCAUCUUCAAUCCUCCCUCCCCACACCCUUCCUUCUUCCGCCACCCACCUCCCCUCUCCGCGGGUUUCUUCUCGGCCUCUGCGGGAGCCAUUAGGAAAAUAAAAUGAGACACUUGGAAGAAAAUAAGUUUAACUUAUUCCAGUUCUUUUAGAACAUAGAAAUGGUAUUCAGAUUUUAACUUCAGUAAUCAUUGUUGCCAUUUCACCAUUUGAAAAUGAAGUUUCUUGAUUGGUACUUGAAGAUUGGGGUUGUGUCGGCUCUGGUUGGGGCUUCUAUGGAGAUGUUCAUGAUCAAAACUGGAUUCUAUGACAAAGUAACUGUCUUGGAGUCAGAAAAGCGUGCCUGGGAGAACUCCCCGGAUGCUCAGGCAAUUAGAGAAGCUCUCAACCCCUGGAGACAGAUUGACACAGAAAAAA